RNAcentral lists this ribosomal RNA (317 nucleotides) under uncultured Filosa. RNAcentral's name for it is "SSU rRNA". The stretch from base 107 to 317 matches the Rfam family "Eukaryotic small subunit ribosomal RNA", at positions 738 to 955 of the family's 1831-position model. Lineage: Eukaryota; Cercozoa. The record is from RNAcentral.
GACUUCUGGUUUAAUGCACCUGGCCCGUGGCCACUAGGCUUGUGAGUGCCGGCGCGCGUUUACAAUCCUUCUAGAAAACGUUUCUGCCAUUAACUUGGUUGGGAAUGCGAUCUAGAUCUUUUACUUUGAAAAAAUUAGAGUGUUUAGAGCAGGCUUUUGAUGAAUACAUUAGCAUGGAAUAAUAAUCUAGGACUUCGGUUCUAUUUUGUUGGUUUCGAUAACUGAAGUAAUGAUUGAUAGGGAUAGUUGGGGGUAGUAUUGGCCGGCCAGAGGUCAAAUUCUUGGAUUCGGUCAAGACUAACUUAUGCGAAAGCAUU